RNAcentral lists this ribosomal RNA (253 nucleotides) under uncultured bacterium. RNAcentral's name for it is "partial 16S ribosomal RNA". It matches the Rfam family "Bacterial small subunit ribosomal RNA", at positions 524 to 776 of the family's 1533-position model. The record is from RNAcentral.
UACGUAGGGUGCAAGCGUUAUUCGGAAUUACUGGGCGUAAAGCGUGCGCAGGCGGUUGAGCAAGUCAGAUGUGAAAUCCCCGGGCUCAACCUGGGAACUGCAUUUGUGACUGCACGGCUGGAGUGCGGCAGAGGGGGAUGGAAUUCCGCGUGUAGCAGUGAAAUGCGUAGAGAUCGGGAGGAACACCAGAGGCGAAGGCGGCGACCUGGACAGUUACUGACACUCAACUACGAAAGCGUGGGGAGCAAACAGG